GGAGGAUGCAAGCGUUAUCUGGAAUUAUUGGGCGUAAAGCGUCCGCAGGUGGUGUUUCAAGUCUGCUGUCAAAGACCGAGGCUUAACUUCGGGCAGGCGGUGGAAACUGAAACACUAGAGUACGGUAGGGGUAGAGGGAAUUUCCAGUGUAGCGGUGAAAUGCGUAGAGAUUGGAAAGAACACCAGUGGCGAAGGCGCUCUACUGGACCGUAACUGACACUCAGGGACGAAAGCUAGGGUAGCGAAAGGGAUUAGAUACCCCUGUAGUCCUAGCUGUAAACGAUGGAUACUAGGCGUUGCUUGUAUCGACCCGAGCAGUGCCGUAGCCAACGCGUUAAGUAUCCCGCCUGGGGAGUACGCACGCAAGUGUG
Molecule: ribosomal RNA, 371 nt
Filed under: uncultured bacterium
Lineage: Bacteria
Description: bacterial SSU rRNA
Rfam family: Bacterial small subunit ribosomal RNA
Source: RNAcentral